AUUGAACGCUGGCGGCAGGCCUAACACAUGCAAGUCGAGCGGAUGAAGGGAGCUUGCUCCUGGAUUCAGCGGCGGACGGGUGAGUAAUGCCUAGGAAUCUGCCUGGUAGUGGGGGAUAACGUCCGGAAACGGGCGCUAAUACCGCAUACGUCCUGAGGGAGAAAGUGGGGGAUCUUCGGACCUCACGCUAUCAGAUGAGCCUAGGUCGGAUUAGCUAGUUGGUGGGGUAAAGGCCUACCAAGGCGACGAUCGUAACUGGUCUGAGAGGAUGAUCAGUAACACUGGAACUGAGACACGGUCCAGACUCCUACGGGAGGCAGCAGUGGGGAAUAUGGGACAAGGGGCGAAAGCCUGAUCCAGCCAUGCCGCGUGUGUGAAGAAGGUCUUCGGAUUGUAAAGCACUUUAAGUUGGGAGGAAGGGCAGUAAGUUAAUACCUUGCUGUUUUGACGUUACCAACAGAAUAAGCACCGGCUAACUUCGU
Molecule: ribosomal RNA, 482 nt
Filed under: uncultured bacterium
Lineage: Bacteria
Description: partial 16S ribosomal RNA
Rfam family: Bacterial small subunit ribosomal RNA
Source: RNAcentral